CCUACGGAGGCAGCAGUGGGGAAUAUUGGACAAUGGGCGCAAGCCUGAUCCAGCCAUGCCGCGUGAGUGAUGAAGGCCCUAGGGUUGUAAAGCUCUUUCACCGGUGAAGAUAAUGACGGUAACCGGAGAAGAAGCCCCGGCUAACUUCGUGCCAGCAGCCGCGGUAAUA
This 169-nucleotide ribosomal RNA is filed under the name uncultured bacterium. RNAcentral describes it as "partial 16S ribosomal RNA". It matches the Rfam family "Bacterial small subunit ribosomal RNA", at positions 338 to 525 of the family's 1533-position model. The record is from RNAcentral.